UCACACUACAAAUACUAACAUCUCUAACAACAAAAAAAAAGUAAACAAGGCAAAAUAAACAAACCGGGACAAAUAGGACGGAAAAGUGGCAUUGGAUGUGGCUGCCACAGCGCACCCACCCUUCCUGUGGUGCCCCUAGCGUAGCGAGGGAGGUACCACCCAUGUUCCGAGGCCGGAGCCACUGCCAGGCCAGACUACGACCGGUUCAUCUCCCCGCUGGAAAUUGCCUUAGGCCCACAUCAUCUUCAUCUCCAUUCUAAGUCAGGGCAAAACCACUACCCGGCCUGGACUGCACCAGCUGCAAGGCCUUCUUAAAAUCGGAAAUUUGGCCCCGCAGAAAAGUUUAAGCCAAGUGGCUGUCCUGCUGGAGCUCCAAGAGGACACAAAAGGGACAGACCCCGAGUUAGCGCAAGGCCAGACUCAAGCUCGCGGAAUCACGAAGACGUGCAGAAACGGACGAGGCGAGUACGCAAAUUUACAAAUACAAAAAUUAAUCUUAAAAUCUAAUCACCGGCGCGGCGAGUAAGCUGGCUGCGGGUCGCCGAAGGACAACUUGGGACCGGUAUCACGCCCUGCCUCGGC
Drosophila rhopaloa is the source of this 582-nucleotide long non-coding RNA. RefSeq lists it as uncharacterized. NCBI's taxonomy places the organism in Eukaryota, Metazoa, Arthropoda, Insecta, Diptera, Drosophilidae. The record is from RefSeq and is a predicted model, not a curated record. The transcript has 3 exons.